UGCAAGUCGAACGAGAUCUUCGGGUCUAGUGGCGCACGGGUGCGUAACGCGUGGGAAUCUGCCCUUUGGUUCGGAAUAACAGUUGGAAACGACAGCUAAUACCGGAUGAUGACGAAAGUCCAAAGAUUUAUCGCCAGAGGAUGAGCCCGCGUAGGAUUAGCUAGUUGGUGUGGUAAAGGCGCACCAAGGCGACGAUCCUUAGCUGGUCUGAGAGGAUGAUCAGCCACACUGGGACUGAGACACGGCCCAGACUCCUACGGGAGGCAGCAGUGGGGAAUAUUGGACAAUGGGCGAAAGCCUGAUCCAGCAAUGCCGCGUGAGUGAUGAAGGCCUUAGGGUUGUAAAGCUCUUUUACCCGGGAUGAUAAUGACAGUACCGGGAGAAUAAGCUCCGGCUAACUCCGUGCCAGCAGCCGCGGUAAUACGGAGGGAGCUAGCGUUGUUCGGAAUUACUGGGCGUAAAGCGCACGUAGGCGGCUUUGUAAGUUAGAGGUGAAGGCCUGGAGCUCAACUCCAGAACUGCCUUUAAGACUGCAUCGCUUGAAUCCAGGAGAGGUGAGUGGAAUUCCGAGUGUAGAGGUGAAAUUCGUAGAUAUUCGGAAGAACACCAGUGGCGAAGGCGGCUCACUG
RNAcentral lists this ribosomal RNA (629 nucleotides) under uncultured bacterium. RNAcentral describes it as "bacterial SSU rRNA". It matches the Rfam family "Bacterial small subunit ribosomal RNA", at positions 56 to 731 of the family's 1533-position model. The record is from RNAcentral.